Molecule: transfer RNA, 66 nt
Filed under: Glypthelmins quieta
Lineage: Eukaryota; Metazoa; Platyhelminthes; Trematoda; Plagiorchiida; Plagiorchiidae
Description: tRNA-Lys
Source: RNAcentral
CUGCGGGUAGCUUAUGUUUAAAGUUUUGAAUUCUUACUUCAAAGAUGUUGCUGUUAACCCCGGAGG